GAUGAACGCUAGCUACAGGCUUAACACAUGCAAGUCGAGGGGCAGCAUGAACUUAGCUUGCUAAGUUUGAUGGCGACCGGCGCACGGGUGAGUAACACGUAUCCAACCUGCCGAUGACUCGGGGAUAGCCUUUCGAAAGAAAGAUUAAUACCCGAUGGCAUAGUUCUUCCGCAUGGUAGAACUAUUAAAGAAUUUCGGUCAUCGAUGGGGAUGCGUUCCAUUAGGUUGUUGGCGGGGUAACGGCCCACCAAGCCUUCGAUGGAUAGGGGUUCUGAGAGGAAGGUCCCCCACAUUGGAACUGAGACACGGUCCAAACUCCUACGGGAGGCAGCAGUGAGGAAUAUUGGUCAAUGGACGAGAGUCUGAACCAGCCAAGUAGCGUGAAGGAUGACUGCCCUAUGGGUUGUAAACUUCUUUUAUACGGGAAUAAAGUGAGGCACGUGUGCCUUUUUGUAUGUACCGUAUGAAUAAGGAUCGGCUAACUCCGUGCCAGCAGCCACGGUAAUACGGAGGAUCCGAGCGUUAUCCGGAUUUAUUGGGUUUAAAGGGAGCGUAGGCGGACGCUUAAGUCAGUUGUGAAAGUUUGCGGCUCAACCGUAAAAUUGCAGUUGAUACUGGGUGUCUUGAGUACAGUAGAGGCAGGCGGAAUUCGUGGUGUAGCGGUGAAAUGCUUAGAUAUCACGAAGAACUCCGAUUGCGAAGGCAGCCUGCUGGACUGUAACUGACGCUGAUGCUCGAAAGUGUGGGUAUCAAACAGGAUUAGAUACCCUGGUAGUCCACACAGUAAACGAUGAAUACUCGCUGUUUGCGAUAUACAGUAAGCGGCCAAGCGAAAGCGUUAAGUAUUCCACCUGGGGAGUACGCCGGCAACGGUGAAACUCAAAGGAAUUGACGGGGGCCCGCACAAGCGGAGGAACAUGUGGUUUAAUUCGAUGAUACGCGAGGAACCUUACCCGGGCUUGAAUUGCAACUGAAUGAUGUGGAGACAUGUCAGCCGCAAGGCAGUUGUGAAGGUGCUGCAUGGUUGUCGUCAGCUCGUGCCGUGAGGUGUCGGCUUAAGUGCCAUAACGAGCGCAACCCUUAUCGAUAGUUACCAUCAGGUUAUGCUGGGGACUCUGUCGAGACUGCCGUCGUAAGAUGUGAGGAAGGUGGGGAUGACGUCAAAUCAGCACGGCCCUUACGUCCGGGGCUACACACGUGUUACAAUGGGGGGUACAGAAGGCAGCUACACGGCGACGUGAUGCUAAUCCCGAAAGCCUCUCUCAGUUCGGAUUGGAGUCUGCAACCCGACUCCAUGAAGCUGGAUUCGCUAGUAAUCGCGCAUCAGCCACGGCGCGGUGGAUACGUUCCCGGGCCU
Molecule: ribosomal RNA, 1357 nt
Filed under: uncultured bacterium
Lineage: Bacteria
Description: bacterial SSU rRNA
Rfam family: Bacterial small subunit ribosomal RNA
Source: RNAcentral